UUGCUUCAGCAGCACGUAUACUGAAAUUGGAAUAACACAGAAAAGAUUGGCUUGGCCUCUGCACAAGGGCGACGUUCAUAUCCGUGAUGCAGUCCAUAUUUUU
Molecule: small nuclear RNA, 103 nt
Organism: Loxodonta africana (African savanna elephant)
Lineage: Eukaryota; Metazoa; Chordata; Mammalia; Proboscidea; Elephantidae
Source: Ensembl